Molecule: ribosomal RNA, 492 nt
Filed under: uncultured bacterium
Lineage: Bacteria
Description: partial 16S ribosomal RNA
Rfam family: Bacterial small subunit ribosomal RNA
Source: RNAcentral
AGUGAACGCUGGCGGUAGGCCUAACACAUGCAAGUCGAACGGCAGCACAGUAAGAGCUUGCUCUUACGGGUGGCGAGUGGCGGACGGGUGAGGAAUACAUCGGAAUCUACUUUUUCGUGGGGGAUAACGUAGGGAAACUUACGCUAAUACCGCAUACGACCUACGGGUGAAAGCAGGGGAUCUUCGGACCUUGCGCGAUUGAAUGAGCCGAUGUCGGAUUAGCUAGUUGGCGGGGUAAAGGCCCACCAAGGCGACGAUCCGUAGCUGGUCUGAGAGGAUGAUCCGCCACACUGGAACUGAGACACGGUCCAGACUCCUACGGGAGGCAGCAGUGGGGAAUAUUGGACAAUGGGCGAAAGCCUGAUCCAGCCAUACCGCGUGGGUGAAGAAGGCCUUCGGGUUGUAAAGCCCUUUUGUUGGGAAAGAAAAGCAGCAGGUUAAUACCCCGCUGUUCUGACGGUACCCAAAGAAUAAGCACCGGCUAACUUCGUG